RNAcentral lists this unclassified non-coding RNA (587 nucleotides) under Mus musculus (house mouse). Its description in RNAcentral is "partial miscellaneous RNA". The record is from RNAcentral. Lineage: Eukaryota; Metazoa; Chordata; Mammalia; Rodentia; Muridae.
UACACUCACUAGACCCACCCGAGCCCCCAGUACUCCUGAUUACCCUUCCUUUCCUUUUCUGUAGCAGUCAUCACAGUUUAACAUACUACUUAGCCAUUGCUUUUUUCAUCUGUCUCCCACCCUACUAAAAUGUAAGCUCCAUGAAAAAAAGAGAUUCUUGCCUGUUGUAGUGACUGAUUCAAUUCCAGUACCUAAACCGGUGCCUACAUAUGACUGAUAGUCAAAUAGUUAUUAUAAAUAAACAUUAACUGUUGGCUAUGUUUUAAUAUAAUGUACACAUAUAAUUUUAGAUGAUUUAACCAAGUAAAUAAGAAGAAAAUACACUAUAAAUUAUUGAACCAUACCCACACAGUAGAUUGUUCCAGCAUAUUUGCCACAAUAAACAAUGCUACCAAAAACCUUUUGUACAAAUAUCUACAUAUAGUACUACUUCUUCUAUCCGUUUGAGUCACAAAAGGUUAUGUGAAUAUACGUUUUAAAAUGUUAACAGGUAUUGCCAGACUAUCAGGAGAGACCAUAAAUCAGAUAAAAACAUGAGUUGUAUCCAAAACUCAACCAGGUAUCAUCUUAAAUAUCCAACAGAAUUC